This 301-nucleotide ribosomal RNA is filed under the name uncultured bacterium. RNAcentral's name for it is "partial 16S ribosomal RNA". It matches the Rfam family "Bacterial small subunit ribosomal RNA", at positions 509 to 809 of the family's 1533-position model. The record is from RNAcentral.
CAGUCGCCGCGGUAAUACAGAGGGUGCGAGCGUUAAUCGGAUUUACUGGGCGUAAAGCGUGCGUAGGCGGCUAAUUGAGUCGGAUGUGAAAUCCCCGAGCUUAACUUGGGAAUUGCAUUCGAUACUGGUUAGCUAGAGUGUGGGAGAGGAUGGUAGAAUUCCAGGUGUAGCGGUGAAAUGCGUAGAGAUCUGGAGGAAUACCGAUGGCGAAGGCAGCCAUCUGGCCUAACACUGACGCUGAGGUACGAAAGCAUGGGGAGCAAACAGGAUUAGAUACCCGCGUAGUCCCUGUCUCUUAUAA